This 253-nucleotide ribosomal RNA is filed under the name uncultured bacterium. Its description in RNAcentral is "partial 16S ribosomal RNA". It matches the Rfam family "Bacterial small subunit ribosomal RNA", at positions 524 to 776 of the family's 1533-position model. The record is from RNAcentral.
UACGGAGGGAGCUAGCGUUGUUCGGAAUUACUGGGCGUAAAGCGCACGUAGGCGGCUUUGUAAGUUAGAGGUGAAAGCCCGGGGCUCAACUCCGGAACUGCCUUUAAGACUGCAUCGCUUGAAUCCAGGAGAGGUGAGUGGAAUUCCGAGUGUAGAGGUGAAAUUCGUAGAUAUUCGGAAGAACACCAGUGGCGAAGGCGGCUCACUGGACUGGUAUUGACGCUGAGGUACGAAAGCGUGGGGAGCAAACAGG